Molecule: long non-coding RNA, 1916 nt
Filed under: Olea europaea subsp. europaea
Lineage: Eukaryota; Viridiplantae; Streptophyta; Magnoliopsida; Lamiales; Oleaceae
Source: RNAcentral
UUUUGAAUAAGAAUACAAUCUUUCUCCCAUUUCUCUCUUUCUACUCUCUCUUCUUCUUAAAUUGUUCUUGUUCUUGAUUCUCAUCAUUAGUGGUUCACAGUAUUAUUUGGACCUAAACAUCUGAGAUUCCGAAGGAGUUGUGAGAGGUUCCUUUAGAAACCCUUGGAAGUUUAUAUCUCAAGAUUCUCUUCUCCAGCCUAUUUCACUCUAUGCUGUAGUGAAAAUCCCUCGAUAAAUCUUGAUUUCGGGUUCAAAAAACAAUCAAACGAACACCGAUUUACCUAGCUUGACCCAAGAACUCUCCUUCACUUUGGACUGCCCAAACUCUCUCAAAUUUCACAAAGGAGAGGGGAUGGUGGUGGUGAUAGGGAGAAGAAGCAACAAUGGUGGACUCACUCCAACCACCAAGUCGGUUGCCUCCUCACCUCUCUCGGCCCUCUUUCCCUCUCUCAACACACACCCACACACCACCAUAGAAAAUGGCUGCAAGAAGAUGGGUAUAUAUAUAGGAUAGGUUAAAUACACAACUUGGGCCAAAGACUUAUGCAAAUGGACUUCUACUUAACCUAAACAAAUGGGCUACCAAUUAAUCUAAAACCCACAAUCUAAUAACCCAACUACUACAUGGACUAUCCACAAGUUUAGGUUAUUUCCGAGUUGAGCCAAGUCCAUGGUGUCGAUAAAUAAUCCGACAACUGUUUUAAAUUAUCGUCCAGAUUAUUGAAUAUCAAAACCCAACACAUGCAUUGUGUGAAAGGGGAUAGGAUUCAUUUCCAGGAGGAAGGUUAUGUUGCAUGAUGACUUCUUCAUUUCAGAGACUGUAGACUUGAUAAUUGACUUCUGAAAAUGGUGUAACGAAUUGGAAUUUUUAGUUUCUAAGAAAUUUGAGGGAUAGGGAGAGUUUAUAAUUGCCAAUUGAAUCUUCUUGAGAACAUCUACCUAACUUCUUCUUAAAUUGACAAAAGGUUGGUGAAGUUAUAGCCCUCGAUAUCCUCUUGCAGAUUAUUCUUCAGUGUUCUAGUCAGUUUGCUUAGCUAUCCCAUAUUUACCCUGGUUUAAGCUAAUCUGAUGAUUUUGCAUUCUUCACAGAAUAGUAGCGUUUCAAUGGCUACUAUUACGUGUGAAAAGGUUCAAAAGAAAUAUCCUUAUUUCUUUCCUUUUACUUUGCGGUUUGUGAUGCAUCGGAAUGGUUCAGAAAGUAUGGAUAAUUUAUUUUACAAUUGACGCAGUGAAAAGACUGUUAUAGACUCCUUGAAGGACAGAUCCCAGUUUUUAUCAUCCUUGUGGUUUCUGAGGAUGAGGUGUUUAAGGGCAUUCGUUUCCCGUUAAUUAUCCUUAGUUGGGAAAAGGCAUUAUAUUCUUUAGUCUUUAGACGAGACUCUGAUUUGUUUGGUGAUUAGCCUAUAAACAGUCGUAGUUUGCUUGUGAACAAAAUUAUAAAAAGGAGAAAGCUAUGUUGCUUGAACUCUCCAAAUAUGGAGGGGUAUCCGUGUCGACACGACAUGACAUGGAUACCGACAUGGGAUACAGAUUGGAUCCUUGGUUUUGAAAUCGGACACGGCAGCAAAAUGAAGAAGACAGCGGAACGUGGAGUCUUGCUUCUAGCCACACCGAAUUUCGUCUAUGGAGCUGUAGUUUUCUGGCCUUGCAUCUAUCUAUAGAUGUUUCUGGAAUUCUGUUUCGAGCUUGGGAGAAAGAUGAUAACAGAGUUGGGGAAGAAGACUAAGGAAGAAGACGAAAGGUUGCCCUCAUUGAUUGAAGUGCGCUUGGACCGGAUUUUGGAAUGUUUUAUAAGGGAUUUUGUAAACUCCAAUGCAUAUAAUGAAUGAAAUUACAAUUAUUUUAUUGGAUAAGUUGUAUGGUCCCUCAUUUAAUUUGAGUUUAUUCUUGUAUUUAUUUUUUAUUUCUUAUAUUUA